AUUUUGAACGCAUAUUGCACUUUCGGGUUACGCCGGGAAGUACGCCUGUCUCAGUCUCCGUACAUCAAACUUGCCUUUCUUUUUCUGUGUAGUCAGGAAUGGAGAUGGCAGAAUGUGAGGUGUCUCGAGCCGUCCCCUCUUUGGGAGAUAGCACGAGUCCCUUUAAAUGUACGUUGAUCUCUCUUGUGUCUUAGUGAAGUGUAAUGCUCGAACGCAGUGAUCUGUUCAGAUUGCUUUGCGCUGGUGGGCGACUUCGGAAAGGACAUUAAGGAGAUGACCUCUAUUGGCGGUAUGUUAGGCUUCGGCCCGACGUUGCAGCUGACGGGGUGUUGUUUCCGUUCUUUCCUUGAGGUGUACCUGUCGUGUGUGAGGUCGAACUGGACGCUGGUUAUUGUGUAGUAGAGUAUUGCUGCGCUUUGACGCCUUCGGGUAAAGAGGACG
Molecule: ribosomal RNA, 441 nt
Filed under: Pythium insidiosum
Lineage: Eukaryota; Oomycota; Peronosporomycetes; Pythiales; Pythiaceae
Description: eukaryotic LSU rRNA
Source: RNAcentral